Alexandromys fortis (reed vole) is the source of this 511-nucleotide long non-coding RNA. RefSeq lists it as uncharacterized. The record is from RefSeq and is a predicted model, not a curated record. The transcript is spliced from 2 exons. Lineage: Eukaryota; Metazoa; Chordata; Mammalia; Rodentia; Cricetidae.
GCGUAGUCAGCGUUACCUGUGGAGAGAAGAAAGUCCAAUUACACACUGGCCUUCGGGGUCUGAGAAUCAGGAAGAGUGCCGAAACUGAGUGUGGCAUCUAGAACCCGUUGGCUCGGGGUCCUCUUGCCUGUCCUGCCCUGCAGGAUCCAGGAUGUCAGUUUCUUCCUGUUUCCAGUGACUUUCAUCUACAGCCCGUCUAGAGUCAAGGUGGACAGAGGAAGGAGAGACUCUCUCUAGGCUGAGGAUGGAUGACCGAGGAGUGGUCAGAGCAUCUCAUCAGCAUCACUACAGAAGUGAGAACUUCACCUGUUAAAUUCUGACUCUUUGGGGCUGGAGAGAUGGCUCAGAGGUUAAGAGAAUUGCCUGCUCUUCCAAAGGUCCUGAGUUCAAUUCCCAGCAACCAUAUGGUGGCUCAUAGCCAUCUGUAACGGGGUCUGGUGCCCUCUUCUGGCCUGCGGGUAUACACACAGACAGAAUAUUGUAUUCAUAAUAAAUAAAUAUUAAAAAAUUC